RNAcentral lists this ribosomal RNA (85 nucleotides) under Oplurus cyclurus. RNAcentral's name for it is "partial 16S large subunit ribosomal RNA". Lineage: Eukaryota; Metazoa; Chordata; Lepidosauria; Squamata. The record is from RNAcentral.
GGCCUACUCAUAGCCCAACCACCUUCCCUAAACUCAACCAACCUUAAAACAAAUCAUUUGCCAAGAACAGUAUAGGUGAUAAAAC